Molecule: ribosomal RNA, 404 nt
Filed under: Candida tropicalis
Lineage: Eukaryota; Fungi; Ascomycota; Pichiomycetes; Serinales; Debaryomycetaceae
Description: eukaryotic LSU rRNA
Rfam family: Eukaryotic large subunit ribosomal RNA
Source: RNAcentral
CAGAGUCCGAGUUGUAAUUUGAAGAAGGUAUCUUUGGGUCUGGCUCUUGUCUAUGUUUCUUGGAACAGAACGUCACAGAGGGUGAGAAUCCCGUGCGAUGAGAUGAUCCAGGCCUAUGUAAAGUUCCUUCGAAGAGUCGAGUUGUUUGGGAAUGCAGCUCUAAGUGGGUGGUAAAUUCCAUCUAAAGCUAAAUAUUGGCGAGAGACCGAUAGCGAACAAGUACAGUGAUGGAAAGAUGAAAAGAACUUUGAAAAGAGAGUGAAAAAGUACGUGAAAUUGUUGAAAGGGAAGGGCUUGAGAUCAGACUUGGUAUUUUGUAUGUUACUUCUUCGGGGGUGGCCUCUACAGUUUAUCGGGCCAGCAUCAGUUUGGGCGGUAGGAGAAUUGCGUUGGAAUGUGGCACG